Equus caballus (horse) is the source of this 5436-nucleotide long non-coding RNA. The record is from Ensembl. Lineage: Eukaryota; Metazoa; Chordata; Mammalia; Perissodactyla; Equidae.
GUGUAGCCAGCCCAGUAGUUCUAAGAAAUGAAAUCCCAAAUCUGAUACAUGAAGGGCAUCGAGAAUUGAAUAACUGUUCAAAAGCAGGUUCUGGACUGCUUCGCUUCAAUAAAGAUGUAAAGAACAAAGGAAUAGCGUGCAACUACUGCACCAUCAAUAGAUGCUUGAAAUACAAAAGCUGGAAAAGCGGAGAAGUGUGGAACCUGGCAAAACGUUAAUACCUGCUUUGCAGAGAGGAAAGGCGCAUCACGGAGACGUGGAAUCGGAAAGGGCCCCAAGAGGUCAUCCUGUGCCACGGCUUAAAUUCUCUCUGGCUGGGGACAUCUAGUCUCUUAUUUAAAAUGUCCAGAGAAAUAUGACAGAUCGUGUUCCAGAGAAAGAAGAGAAUGUGCUUUUACUUGUGGCAGCCACUGGACAGCUGACCCACUGGGCGUGGUAAAUCAGGGUUGAAAACAAUGACAUACAAAGAAUUUCCGAACUCAUCAGACCUCCUCUGAUGUACAAGACUGGCAUCUGCCUGCAUGCCAACAGGAAUCUUAUGAAACCAAAAUUUCAGCCCAAAGAGAUCUGGACCCUGUAACAGGAAUUCUUAUAAUUCUCAAGCCAGAACUCAUAAGUUUCAGCUACUUCGAUGAAGGGAGAAGAGGCCAUUUGGGGGGAUCCCCUGGUCGAUGUGGUCAUCGUGACAACCUGUGCUGCUUGUUAGGAAAUAAUAUCCAAGUGGAAGGGAUGUUCAUAGUUUAUAGUCAUAAGCUAAGAGAAUUUAAUACCAGACUGAAAUUAAAACACACGCACACACACCCAUACACACACACUUGGAGCCUCCAGGAAUGUGAGAGACAUAAGAUAACAGCAUUUGUAUCACAAUGCCAAUUUAUUAAUUAAGACCGAAAUGUGUAAGAUUUCCAUUUUCGAUGAAGUUGCAUCAGUAAUGUCCCUGCAUCCAAAAUGUCCUCAGUUCCUAUUAAUAAGGCUAAAGGGAGAUUCUUUGCAAAAUGGUUGGAAUGUUUUGAGAUUUCUGAACCCCUUGGGAACACUAGGCAGAAUAAUGGACCAGAUUUAAAGGGAGAUUCUUUGCAAAAUGGUUGGAAUGUUUUGAGAUUUCUGAACCCCUUGGGAACACUAGGCAGAAUAAUGGACCAGAUUUAAUGAUCUCUAUAUCGUCCAUGCUGGUUGCCUAGACACAUCCCUCAAAGAUUAGUAGAUGCUGGUUUUGUCCAUUUAAUCAAAGAGAGGAUAUAUAAAAUUUAGACACUGUUUCAUUUCUGGGUGCUUUUCAGGGAAGUGCCAGAGAUUUCAGGGGACCUGGGGAGUUGUUUCAUCUGUUGUCAGGGCAUUCCUGUGAGGAAUACAAUUUGGUACAAAAGUACACUAAAUACAUAUGGUAGUCAGCGUGACCGUAUCAAUGCUAUAGCUGAAGAAAUGGAAUCGAAGACUCAGAGUUGAGGCCAACGUUUGUAACGAUGAUCCCUUCAUUUCAGUCUAAGAGACUGUCUUGGUCAGAACAAUCUCCUGUACGGGGACAUGAGGCUGCCAAGCAAAGGCCGUUUGUAAUGAGACUUUUUCUUUAGUUACAAGAUUGUCUUCUAAAUUAGUUGAAUCUAUGGGCCACAAAUAUAGAACUGCCUGACCCAACUUGACUUUAACAUGGCAACACACCAUGCUAUGUCUGAAAUGUAUGCAAGGAUGGGGUUUUAGCUCCAUUUUUUUUAAGAGGGUUUGAUAGUUAUUUGUGCCUAGGCAGCCUAAUCCCUGAAGGACUGGCCACUGUCUGUAAGUGAGAGCUGUCCCUAGCUGGCCCCAUAAAAGAGGAACUGGUGGCUAUAUUUGGGAUGGCAUGAGGCAACAGGACAAGCGCUGCUCAUGUUGCUACUGUCACACCUUCUGAGAUUCAAAGUGUUCUUCCAUCCUAGACUGUAAAAGGAAAGGCCCAGUUUCCUUGGGAAAAGGGAAGUAACUAGCUGGUGUAACCCAUUAGGAUGCACGGUACCCUGCCUGGGUGGUGAGCAGCCCUUCACAUUUCUCUUUGAAUAUGCAUUCUCUUUUCCCCACUGUCUCCAUGCAUAUUCUCUUUGGAUACACAUUUCUUCCCUCCCUCGUGGAGGGAAGGGGGUGGCAUUAAAACAUGCUUGUACUUUAUCUGUGAGUCUGUGACUCUGGGUAAAGGUUCACUCACUAAGAGGAAGAAAAUCCUAUUUUAAGUUCCACCUCUGGAACUAGGAACUUAAUCCUUGAUUAGACAAAUAGUAAGGUCAGUGAGUAAUAAUUAGAACCUGUUCCUAGAACCCCACCACAUUAGAAGGUCUUACGCACACAUCGUGUCUCUUACGGGGAAAGGAAUGACAGACAUGCUCACUUCCAUGUGGCUACUUGACAAGGAUCCAAAAUAACACAAUGACUCCAUGGAUAUUUCUAUAGGUUUUUUUUCCUGUUACUCUUUUUGUUUGAUGUUUAUGUGAAAUCACAGAGAACAAUCACUGUUCACUUAGUGAAUGUACAUUGAGUCUCAAAGAUGUGCUAAGGGAAUUUUGAAGUAUAGAAAGAAACAUGGUACUGUGAGCCAUCAGAUUAAUGCCAGCCCCUAUUUAAUUAUAGGUAUGCUAUGAUGUUUUUAUACAUCGAGCCCAUCUUAUAAAUCAAGUAAAUAAAUAAAUAUAGUUGACAAUAGCUCGUGCUCAUCUGUGGACUAUUUAGACAAUUGCAAGUGAAAAUGAAUAUUUUUUCUUUCCAUAUUUUACCAAAUUUGCUAAUUUCAUGAUGAGGAGUGCCUGCUUAUUUCCAGGGUUUAAAUGUUAAAAGUCUCUUGAUGAACACGGAAUAAAUUAAUUGGUAAAUUAGAAAAAAGUUUAUGAAAUCAAAGUACAAAAUACGCUCUUUGCCUCAUGUACAAUGCAAUACUGUGUUCAUAACCAGUAAACGCUCUGAAGUUGUUGCCAUGUGCAUGCUAGAUUGGAGAAACAGUUGAAACCUUGCACAAGGGUGAUUUUUUUCCCUUUGAUUCACAGAAUGGAAAUAACAUAAGCCAUGUCUGAUUUUUGAAAGUAUAAACUGAAGUAUGAAAAAGGUGAGGGACCCUUCACUGCAUCAAGACUUAGAGUUAGAACCAGACAUAAUGAGACAACUGGAAAGCCAGCUAGAAGAAAGUUUACAAGACUAUGACCUCAAACUAUAAUCUUCAAAGAGGAAAAGAGAUAAAUUAAGAAAACAACUUGUCAGGUAAUGUCCCCAUGCAGUGGACCUCUGGCGUUCUGGCCUGCCCAGAAUCUCUUUGUUCUUUUUCUGGUAACCAUACCUUUAAUUUCCUGUGAGGAAACCACCCUCUCCUAAUCUCAGAGCACAAGGAGAUUGGGUACACUGCUGCUCCUGAAGUAGACAUGUAAUUCCAGCUUUUGCCAUCAGGAUAUUCCCUCCCCCUGACCACAAUGAUUGGCUCAAGGAUGGGCACAUGACUCCAUUUUGGUCGGUCAUAACCAGGCCCAGAGGCUCUUUGCUGAGCUGAACAUGAACCCAAGAAGAUAUUAGUCUGAAGUUCCUGGGGGCCAUCAUAAGAAGAUCCAUCCAAGAGGGAAGCCAACAAAUGAGAGACAAAUGAAGAAAAGAGACCACAGAAAUGGAGACCAGCUGGUGGACAUGUUUUGGAUUUACAGUGCAUCAGAGCAGUCUGAGAUGAGUGAACACAAUGGAUUAUAGAGGUUCCAUUUCAGUAGACCAAGCACAGACUUCCAGGAAGCCUUUGAUAGGCAGGCUUUGCUGGGUUGCCUCCACCAUUCCAUCAAGCUUCCUCUGACUCUGUCUGAUAUGAUUGACAAGUAUGCAGAAUUUUAAAGUGGAAUAAAGGCACAGAGAAAGAACUACUUUUCUUUGAUCAAUUUGGUGCAGUUUUAUAACAACAUAUUAAGAAAGAACUGCUUUGUAAAAUAAAAAUGUAAGCAGAAUUCUAGUGUAGCAAAUACAUAUACACGUAUGUAAAAGAAUAAAGAUCUGUGUAGGAAGAAUUGGAGGCCAGGAUAAGAGCCUCAAAGGGUGCCCUGUGUAGAGAAUCUAAAACUUAAUUCUUCAAUGUGAACAAUCUACAGAGAAGAAAACUGGAAAGGAGAGCAAGGAACAGAUGAAAUAUAAAAAGAAAGAUUUUUGAUACACAUAAGAGGUAAUUCAAGUCUCAAGAACAUGAUCUAGAAUCAUGAUAAAAAGAGAAGUGCUGAUGAAGGCUUAAAAAUCCAGGCAGAUUCAGGAGAUGCCCCUGGAUUCCACGUUUCCCAGUGUGCUUCCCAGAUCUCACCCAGGGAACCAAGUACCCAUCCAUUUUCUUUACCUCAUUUAGAAAAAGCAGGGACUUCAAGCCAGACUAGUUGCUUCUCAAGGGGAGAAGAUAUUUCUUCUUCUUUUCCUUCUCCUCCUUCUUCUCCUUUCUUCUUGUUUCCCAGGGUAUUCCACAGUGGCUAUCAGAUACCGUUGAAUUGAUUGAUUAAUUAAUUACAAUUGAAAGUGACAAUGGCAUUCUGAACUAACCCCUAAUUUUACCGAUGGGAAAAGAAGUGUCAGAAGGCUGAGGAUUUAGUUCAAAGUCAUAUAGCUAGUUAAAGGAUCAUCCAAGACAAGGGUUCAAUAUUCCUGAGCUGAGGGAAAGAGUGUUUACACCUAGAAACGUAUUCUGGCUGGUAGUGACUCUCCUAAUCAAUUAGAAGAAUGUUGCCGCACGGAAGAGGGUGGUAUCUCAAUAGAAGAUUCCUUCCUAUCCUGCUUUACUCAGAGACACUUCAAAUAAGAACAGCAGUGAACUGAGGAACAGAGAAUGGAUGAAUGGAUGGGGUGGUGAUAAAAAGAGACUUUGCAAAUAUAUUGUCAAAAGGCUUAUUUGGACUCACUGUUUUGGCAGAAGCAUCUAGAGACAUCAGUCUACCAGUAAGCCAGUGGUGUUCGUUAGUGCCUUUAGCUUGUGGACUCUAGGUCAGGGCAGAGGAGGACACCGAAGAGACAGAUGACAGUCCUGGAGAGAGAGAAAGCCCGCUCACAUACACAGGCUUAAUUUCACACAGCUCGUUUAAUGGAAAUUGUUAGACCUGGACUAAUCCUGUCUUCAUCACCAUCCAACUGAGCAGCCUCUCGGUAACUGAGGGGUAAGGAUGAAAUCAUCACUAAGAUCCUUCUGGCUCGAACAGUACCAAAUUCUGAGUGUCAUGGGGAUGUGGCAUAAAGGCCUAAUUAAAUUCAGUUGAGGUUAAUCUAGAAUUGUCCAUCCUGCUUUCCUCUUCUGGCUUUCACUGACAAAUAAAUGUAAACCUGAAAUUCAUUUUGUUUCCAGAAUGCCUGAGAUGCUGAAAUUAUUCAUAUUUUAAUCGGCUUUUAACAAGAAUAGGUAAGAAAGAAAAUUAGGACAAUUAAGAAAUAAUGAAGCCAUUAUAAAAGCAGUAAUGAUUUAAAAGCGGGGUGGGGGGG